UACGUAGGGUGCAAGCGUUACUCGGAAUUACUGGGCGUAAAGCGUGCGCAGGCGGUCUGUUAAGACCGAUGUGAAAUCCCCGGGCUUAACCUGGGAACUGCAUUGGUGACUGGCAGGCUUUGAGUGUGGCAGAGGGAGGUAGAAUUCCACGUGUAGCAGUGAAAUGCGUAGAGAUGUGGAGGAAUACCGAUGGCGAAGGCAGCCUCCUGGGCCAACACUGACGCUCACGCACGAAAGCGUGGGGAGCAAACAGG
This 254-nucleotide ribosomal RNA is filed under the name uncultured bacterium. RNAcentral describes it as "partial 16S ribosomal RNA". It matches the Rfam family "Bacterial small subunit ribosomal RNA", at positions 524 to 776 of the family's 1533-position model. The record is from RNAcentral.